This 73-nucleotide transfer RNA is filed under the name Planctomycetota bacterium. RNAcentral describes it as "Planctomycetes bacterium (bioreactor metagenome) tRNA-Gln". It matches the Rfam family "tRNA". Rfam says of the family: Transfer RNA (tRNA) molecules are approximately 80 nucleotides in length. The record is from RNAcentral. Lineage: Bacteria; Pseudomonadati; Planctomycetota.
UGCCGAGUAGCACAAUUGGUAGUGCACCUGACUCUGGAUCAGGGGGUUCUAGGUUCGAAUCCUAGCUCGGCAG